UACGGAGGGGGCGAGCGUUAUUCGGAAUUAUUGGGCGUAAAGGGCGCGUAGGCGGCUGCACAAGUCAAAGGUGAAAUCCCUCGGCUCAACUGAGGAACUGCCUUUGAAACUGUACGGCUUGGGGCCGGGAGGGGGUAGCGGAAUUCCCAGUGUAGCGGUGAAAUGCGUAGAUACUGGGAGGAACACCAGUGGCGAAGGCGGCUCCCUGGACCGGUUCUGACGCUGAGGCGCGAAAGCGUGGGUAGCAAACAGG
Molecule: ribosomal RNA, 253 nt
Filed under: uncultured bacterium
Lineage: Bacteria
Description: partial 16S ribosomal RNA
Rfam family: Bacterial small subunit ribosomal RNA
Source: RNAcentral